AUGCAGAUGUUUCGCUGAGAAGGAAAGAUGCAACAUAACAGCCCUUUAGACUUUAGAGACAGAGUGAACACAGGCCCUUCAGUCCAUCGAGUCUGCGCCGACCAGCGAUCGCCCAGCAACCUAGCACUAUCCUACACACUAGGAAUUACAAUCUUACCAAAGUCAAUUAACCCACAAACUUGUAUGUCUUUAGUGCGUGGGUGGAAGCCGGAGCAGCUGGAGAAAACCCAUGCGGUCACAGGGAGAACAUGCAACCUCCACACAGACAGCACUAGAGAUGGUCACGGAGUUGGAAUAAGAAUCGCUCACACUCCUAUCGUCUGGCUCGAGAUGCUGCCUGACCCGCUGAGUUACUCCAGGUUUUUGUGUCCAUCUUCGGUUUAAACCAACAUCGCGAAGCUGUGAUUCGCAGAGCUCCCAGCGCGGGCGGCGAUGAACAACACCGCGGAGUCCCUGGGGCCCUAUGCCGAGGGCCGUCAGCGUGAAUCUCUGCCCGGCGCGGCCUGGGGACUUCGGGAGCCGCGGACUCCGGUGGGUAGCGGCCGCUUCGGAGGUCCAAGCCGCUGAGGUAGGCCUCCCGUUCCUACGUCGGAGUUCCAUCAUCCCAGCGAGUGGGCCUGAGCGGCAGGCCGCCCGCAGCGGCAACUGCGGAGGUCUCCGGAAGCCCCUCACAGUGGGAAACCUUUGGAUUCUGCUGUAUGGGGAUGUUUUAUGUUGGACUCUAUUGUGUGUUGUGUUCUUUAUUUUAAUGUAUGGCUGUAUGUGCAAAAACAAAUUUCAAACCUUGGUCUGACAGUAAAGUGCCAUCGUAUCGUAUCGUAUCUGCACUAUUCUGUAGCACUAUUCCCACACUAUUCCUACACUGUUCCACUAUUCCAACACUGUUGGUUCUGCAUUCAGAAUUUAUAACAAGACCAUGUCGGGGUAGUUUUUCGCCAUUCUGCCUUGCAUUUGUACAUAGUUAUGUAAAUAAUUGAUGUAACUAUGGAAUAUGAUGACAUCAUCAUGAUAUGUGAUUUUUUAGUUGUUAAUAAAUGUUGUUGGUAUGU
Leucoraja erinaceus (little skate) is the source of this 1049-nucleotide long non-coding RNA. RefSeq lists it as uncharacterized. The record is from RefSeq and is a predicted model, not a curated record. The transcript has 3 exons. NCBI's taxonomy places the organism in Eukaryota, Metazoa, Chordata, Chondrichthyes, Rajiformes, Rajidae.